Molecule: ribosomal RNA, 432 nt
Filed under: uncultured bacterium
Lineage: Bacteria
Description: partial 16S ribosomal RNA
Rfam family: Bacterial small subunit ribosomal RNA
Source: RNAcentral
ACGAACGCUGGCGGCAGGCCUAACACAUGCACGUCGAGCGAGGACUUCGGUUCUAGCGGCGGACGGGUGAGUAACGCGUGGGAAUGUGCCCUUCUCUACGGAAUAGCCCUGGGAAACUGGGAGUAAUACCGUAUACGCCCUAUUGGGGAAAGAUUUAUCGGAGAAGGAUCAGCCCGCGUUGGAUUAGGUAGUUGGUGGGGUAAUGGCCUACCAAGCCGACGAUCCAUAGCUGGUUUGAGAGGAUGAUCAGCCACACUGGGACUGAGACACGGCCCAGACUCCUACGGGAGGCAGCAGUGGGGAAUCUUAGACAAUGGGGGCAACCCUGAUCGAGCCAUGCCGCGUGAGUGAUGAAGGCCUUAGGGUUGUAAAGCUCUUUCAGCUGGGAAGAUAAUGACGGUACCAGCAGAAGAAGCCCCGGCUAACUCCGUG